Long non-coding RNA from Mesocricetus auratus (golden hamster), 1086 nucleotides. RefSeq lists it as uncharacterized. The transcript is spliced from 2 exons. Lineage: Eukaryota; Metazoa; Chordata; Mammalia; Rodentia; Cricetidae. The record is from RefSeq and is a predicted model, not a curated record.
CAUUGGCUCUGACCCCUACUCAGCUGUGUGUGUGACUCUGGGACAGUGUCUUCAUCUCUCUGAGUAUUUAUUUUCUCAUGUUCAAAGGAAGAGCUUGGACUGUGAUUUCAAAUCACCUCGUCAUGACCCCUGAUUCCUACGUAAUAAGUGACAAUUACCAUCUGCUCAACAGGUAGCCUUUACUGUCCCUACCUGCAGCUCUGGUGAUGAGGACACCGUGGGCACCUUGCACAACUUACAGUCUAGUCACACGCAGCCUCAUAAGUAACAAAUGCUGGUGUAGAGCCAUCAGAGGCCAGGAGGGGAUUUCUAGUCCUCAUCACCUGUCUGCUUCCUGGUCCAGCUUAUCGACAUCACUCUCAGGGAGAGUCAUGUCAGUCCUAAGAACUCCAAACCCUGUCACAUGAAGCCACCGGGGAGUCCCCGUAAUCAGCUAUCGCCUUCCGGGGCCUGACUCCAGUAGAGCUCACUCAGCCUUUUCACAACACUCUGGAAGACUCUGGGCUGCUGAAAGUCAGAGUCACAACCGUAGAAGGCAGGCGGUCAGGUCUGCGGAGGAUUCCGGGCUGCGCUCCCCAUCUUACCAACACCAUUAACCGAAUAACUAACUGCCUGCAUCGGCGUGAAGCAACCCAAGGAGGGAACAGCUGAAAGUAAGCUUCCCUCAGAAUGAAGAAACAGCCCCGGACCCCCAUGCAAACUGGAGCCCAUCUGCAGAAGCGUGCUUUGGCCUGACCAGACAUCACUGGGCGAGUGCCUAUGAAUAAGAACCGCCAACACCCUGACUUGACCAGUCCGAUUCCUCGCCCCAUGCUCCUCUGUGGAAAGCCCCUCCCCCCCAUGUCUGGCCUCACCUCACUGGAAAAGACCUUGAUAACAUCGAAGCACCGCGAUGAGACCUCAGCAAUACAAGAUGGCCCAAAGCAGCAACACCCACCGUGACUCUGUGAGGACGAGAUGGGUGUUUCGGGCGGAACUCUGCUCUGCGUGGUCCUCUAUCUUCUUGUUUGUUUUGUUUUAAAUUUAGAAAAUAAGUUUAUUGAUUGUCUGGAUUACAUUAUAAAACUACCUUUGACGCUGACUAAA